RNAcentral lists this ribosomal RNA (157 nucleotides) under uncultured Elaphomyces. RNAcentral's name for it is "5.8S ribosomal RNA". It matches the Rfam family "5.8S ribosomal RNA". From Rfam's summary of the family: 5.8S ribosomal RNA (5.8S rRNA) is a component of the large subunit of the eukaryotic ribosome. It is transcribed by RNA polymerase I as part of the 45S precursor that also contains 18S and 28S rRNA. Functionally, it is thought that 5.8S rRNA may be involved in ribosome translocation. The record is from RNAcentral. Lineage: Eukaryota; Fungi; Ascomycota; Eurotiomycetes; Eurotiales; Elaphomycetaceae.
AAACUUUCAACAAUGGAUCUCUUGGUUCCGGCAUCGAUGAAGAACGCAGCGAAAUGCGAUAAGUAAUGCGAAUUGCAGAAUUCCGUGAGUCAUCGAAUCUUUGAACGCACAUUGCGCCCCCCGGUUUCCCGGGGGGCAUGCCUGUCCGAGCGUCAUU